Molecule: ribosomal RNA, 481 nt
Filed under: uncultured bacterium
Lineage: Bacteria
Description: partial 16S ribosomal RNA
Rfam family: Bacterial small subunit ribosomal RNA
Source: RNAcentral
AUUGAACGCUGGCGGCAUGCCUUACACAUGCAAGUCGAACGGUAACAGGUCUUCGGAUGCUGACGAGUGGCGAACGGGUGAGUAAUACAUCGGAACGUGCCCGAUCGUGGGGGAUAACGAAGCGAAAGCUUUGCUAAUACCGCAUAAGAUCUACGGAUGAAAGCAGGGGACCGCAAGGCCUUGCGCGAACGGAGCGGCCGAUGGCAGAUUAGGUAGUUGGUGGGAUAAAAGCUUACCAAGCCGACGAUCUGUAGCUGGUCUGAGAGGACGACCAGCCACACGGGGCCUGAGACACGGCCCAGACCCCUACGGGAGGCAGCAGUGGGGAAUUUUGGACAAUGGGCGAAAGCCUGAUCCAGCCAUGCCGCGUGCAGGAUGAAGGCCUGCGGGUUGUAAACUGCUUUUGUACGGAACGAAAAGACUCUGGUUAAUACCUGGGGUCCAGGACGGUACCGUAAGAAUAAGCACCGGCUAACUACGU